AUGGAGUUAGCCAUGGCCGCCGCCUACACCUCGCGCCUGGGCCUGUCCCCCGCCGCGCACCCGUACGACGACGCAUCCGUGGCCUGCGCCCUCGGCCAGCUCUACUCCACCAAGGAUCCGUUCGCCCUGCCGGUCAGCUGCCUCCUCCCGCCUCCCGAGCUGCCGCCGGCCUUCGGGUUGCCCGUCGGCGGCCUCGCCCCCGUCUGCUGCUGCGCCAAAGCCGCGGCGGCGCCCGCGUUCCCGCCCUUUCCAUGGGCGCACGUGCCCUCGCCGCCAGCGCCGCCGCGCUGCGCCAUCACGGAGAUCGACGAGUCCCGGGAGGUGGAGUCGGAGGACAACCUCUCCCCUCGCUCCGUCCUCACGCCCUGGAGGAGGCCGACGCCCGCCUCGGCGCUGUCUCCGCCUCCGCCUCUUGUGGUCGGGGGAAAACGGGCCUUCGACCCAAGCAGCGAGAAGACUUCUCUGAUGAUCUGCAAUAUCCCCAACGGAUUCGUGAAGCGGAGGUUCAUGGCGAUUCUGGACCAGCAUUGCGUCCAGGAGAACGACAAUCCUGAAUGGCGUGUCGUUGGUGGUGGCAAGUUCGUGAGGUCGGAGUAUGACUUCCUCUACAUCCCAAUAGACUUCAGGACGAAGUACAACAAAGGCUAUGCGUUCGUCAACAUGACGACGGCGACCGCGGCACGGCGGCUCCACGCGUUUCUGCACGGGCACCGCUGGGCCCUGGCAGGCUCUCGGAAGGUGUGUGAGGUCGUGCAUGCGGACAUACAGGGGGUGGAUGCUUUGUCAGCUCACUUCUCCUGCUCCAAGUUCCCCUGCGGUAACAAGGAGUUCCUGCCGGUGCGCUUCGGCCCGCCACGGGAUGGCCUCCGGCCGACGGUGGAGCGUGUGAUUGGCCGCACGCUGGUCCACCGCCCCAGUGACCAAUCCGCCCGCCCCACGCCGCAUGCUGCACAAAGAGGAGGCAAAUCGAAACCUGCUGCAGUGGGGAACAAAACUGUUUGA
RNAcentral lists this ribosomal RNA (1002 nucleotides) under Triticum aestivum (bread wheat). RNAcentral describes it as "partial small subunit ribosomal RNA". The record is from RNAcentral. Lineage: Eukaryota; Viridiplantae; Streptophyta; Magnoliopsida; Poales; Poaceae.